CAGUCGCCGCGGUAAUACGUAGGGUGCGAGCGUUAAUCGGAAUUACUGGGCGUAAAGCGUGCGCAGGCGGUUAUAUAAGACAGAUGUGAAAUCCCCGGGCUCAACCUGGGACCUGCAUUUGUGACUGUAUAGCUAGAGUACGGUAGAGGGGGAUGGAAUUCCGCGUGUAGCAGUGAAAUGCGUAGAUAUGCGGAGGAACACCGAUGGCGAAGGCAAUCCCCUGGACCUGUACUGACGCUCAUGCACGAGAGCGUGGGGAGCAAACAGGAUUAGAUACCCCCGUAGUCCCUGUCUCUUAUAC
RNAcentral lists this ribosomal RNA (301 nucleotides) under uncultured bacterium. Its description in RNAcentral is "partial 16S ribosomal RNA". It matches the Rfam family "Bacterial small subunit ribosomal RNA", at positions 509 to 807 of the family's 1533-position model. The record is from RNAcentral.